Molecule: small nuclear RNA, 160 nt
Organism: Hibiscus syriacus
Lineage: Eukaryota; Viridiplantae; Streptophyta; Magnoliopsida; Malvales; Malvaceae
Product: U1 spliceosomal RNA
Exons: 1
Source: RefSeq, a predicted model, not a curated record
AUAUUUACCUGGAUAGGGUUGAUGGGUGAUCAGUAAGACCCAUGGCCUAGGCUGGUGGAUUUCAUUGCACUUUGUAGGAGCACCUGCCUAAGAUCUCCUCAAGUGGGACAGCCUACAUCAUUAUUUGUGGUAGUGGAGGCCUGUGUCGCGCGAUCCCUUA